This 73-nucleotide transfer RNA is filed under the name Canis lupus familiaris (dog). It matches the Rfam family "tRNA". From Rfam's summary of the family: Transfer RNA (tRNA) molecules are approximately 80 nucleotides in length. Their secondary structure includes four short double-helical elements and three loops (D, anti-codon, and T loops). Lineage: Eukaryota; Metazoa; Chordata; Mammalia; Carnivora; Canidae. RNAcentral also lists the same sequence under 1 other name. The record is from Rfam by way of RNAcentral.
UCCUGGUUGGUUCUGUUGGUAGAGCAUGUGACUUCUAAUCUCAGGGUCAUGAGUUCAAGUCCCAUGUUGGGCA